AUGAAGAACGUAGCGAAAUGCGAUAAGUAAUGUGAAUUGCAGAAUUCAGUGAAUCAUUGAAUCUUUGAACGCAUCUUGCGCUCCUUGGUAUUCUGAGGAGCAUGCCUGUUUGAGUGUCAUUAAAUUCUCAACUACACUGACUUUGAAUUGGUGUGGCUUGGAUUUGGGGGGAAAAUUGUUGUGGGCUUUUUGUAUAGUCUGCUCCCCUGAAAUUGAUUAGCGGUACCUUUGUGGAACUGUCUACAGGUGUGAUAAUUAUCUACAUCUUAGACAUCUGCUGGAAUGCUGCUUUCUAAACCUUACUUGUAUUGACAAUCUUGACCUCAAAUCAGGUAGGACUACCCGCUGAACUUAAGCAUAUCAAUAAGCGGAGGA
RNAcentral lists this unclassified non-coding RNA (375 nucleotides) under soil metagenome. RNAcentral describes it as "partial contains 5.8S ribosomal RNA, internal transcribed spacer 2, and large subunit ribosomal RNA". The stretch from base 1 to 119 matches the Rfam family "5.8S ribosomal RNA", at positions 36 to 154 of the family's 154-position model. The record is from RNAcentral.